UACGGGGGGGGCAAGCGUUGUUCGGAAUUACUGGGCGUAAAGGGCUCGUAGGCGGCCCGUUAAGUCAGUGGUGAAAGUUUGCGGCUUAACCGUAAAAUUGCCAUUGAAACUGAUGGGCUUGAGUAUGGUUGAGGUGGGCGGAAUGUGUCAUGUAGCGGUGAAAUGCUUAGAUAUGAUACAGAACACCGAUUGCGAAGGCAGCUCACUAAACCAUAACUGACGCUGAGGCACGAAAGCGUGGGGAUCAAACAGG
RNAcentral lists this ribosomal RNA (253 nucleotides) under uncultured bacterium. RNAcentral describes it as "partial 16S ribosomal RNA". It matches the Rfam family "Bacterial small subunit ribosomal RNA", at positions 524 to 776 of the family's 1533-position model. The record is from RNAcentral.